Molecule: non-coding RNA, 104 nt
Organism: Cadophora sp. MPI-SDFR-AT-0126
Lineage: Eukaryota; Fungi; Ascomycota; Leotiomycetes; Helotiales; Ploettnerulaceae
Source: the annotation of a GenBank genome assembly
GGCGAAGUGGCGGAGUGGUUAACGCGAUUGACUAGAAUUUGAUACUCAGUAUCUGUUUAAAUCAAUUUCCUUCGGGAGCGUAGGUUCAAAUCCUGCCUUCGUCG